AUAGUGUCACAAGGGCUUUAACCUUUUCGUUUCUCUUUUUCCACUGAAACAUACAGGAUUAUCACCUGUAACAUGCCAAGGACACAUCAAAACAUUUUUGUUUGCAUUUGGGAAGCAAGAAUAUAUCACGCAACAAGUGGUUAGAGAAUACCUGGAACCAUUUUAGAAAAAGCUGCCAAUCAGAGGUAAAAUGUCAAUCCUCUACCAGUUCAGCAGCAGACCAAGGCCACACCUCAUUCUGGCCACCAAGGCCUUUGGGAGAACCACUACCUGGGAAAUACGAAUGAAGAGGAAGCCAGAGUAAUUCUCUUUGUCCCCGCCUCACCUCUCGUUUAGCAUCAACCAGGACAGCUUCUUGAUGAAGUCAUGCAGAAAAGAAAUGAAAACAACUGGAACACAUGGUGGGCAGGGUGUAAUGGAAACGAGGACUUGGGUCUUUUUGUAGAUUGCUGAAUGUCCUGAUAACAUCCCUAAACUGACCUGAGCUCAAGAAGUUAAGUUGGGAGAGACUCAAGAGGAGGCAGAGACCCUUGGGAGCCUUAAUACGGAAAGAAAAGGGGACAUCUGUUUCUGAACUGUCAAUACAUACCAGAUGGACUGCAGAGAACCAGAGUGAGUUUUGAAUGUCUUAUUACCAGAACUUAAAGACCUUUAAGCAGAUGG
Non-coding RNA from Macaca mulatta (Rhesus monkey), 663 nucleotides. The record is from RefSeq and is a predicted model, not a curated record. Lineage: Eukaryota; Metazoa; Chordata; Mammalia; Primates; Cercopithecidae.